CACGAGCUACUUGUGCGAAACUUAACAAUUCCCGGAUGUAUUAUUAAGGAGCGCGCAGCUUAUAUUCUGAUAUGAGAACGCAUCAAUCAUGGGAUACGAUGUGGGCGUAUAGACAAAAUAAAAGAUCGCCGAUAUAAAAAAUCUAAAAAAAAUUAUUGCACAGAAAGGACCAAAAGUCGAUGUGACAAAAUAACUAAAACAAUAUACAUCCGACGAUAUAUAUUGACCGCAGAUUAAGUCUUUAUGUACAACCUCCCUCACGACAAAGAAAAACGAGUACACACUCUUGCUGA
RNAcentral lists this long non-coding RNA (293 nucleotides) under Brachypodium distachyon (stiff brome). RNAcentral describes it as "long non-coding RNA (BDIS_LNC002640)". Lineage: Eukaryota; Viridiplantae; Streptophyta; Magnoliopsida; Poales; Poaceae. The record is from RNAcentral.